GACGAACGCUGGCGGCGUGCUUAACACAUGCAAGUCGAGCGGUAAGGCCCUUUUGGGGGACACGAGCGGCGAACGGGUGAGUAACACGUGGGUGACCUGCCCUCAGCUCUGGGGAUAAGCCUGGGGAAACUGGGUCUAAUACUGGAUAUGACCUUUCCUCGCAUGGGGGUUGGGUGGAAAGUUUUUCGGCUGGGGAUGGGCCCGCGGCCUAUCAGCUUGGUUGGUGGGGUGAUGGCCUACCAAGGCGACGACGGGUAGCCGGCCUGAGAGGGCGACCGGCCACACUGGGACUGA
RNAcentral lists this ribosomal RNA (294 nucleotides) under uncultured bacterium. RNAcentral describes it as "partial 16S ribosomal RNA". It matches the Rfam family "Bacterial small subunit ribosomal RNA", at positions 28 to 322 of the family's 1533-position model. The record is from RNAcentral.